This 584-nucleotide long non-coding RNA is filed under the name Homo sapiens (human). Its description in RNAcentral is "non-protein coding lnc-CPOX-3:2". The record is from RNAcentral. Lineage: Eukaryota; Metazoa; Chordata; Mammalia; Primates; Hominidae.
ACUCACGGGGUUGAGUUGCAAAGGCAAGGUCUUGCCCGUCUGUCCCCCAAGUUGGCGCGGCUUUACUUUUUGGCAAGGCCAUUUAUUUUUCUGAAAGGGGGACGUGAGACCCUGCUAUGAAAGCCUCGUUGAUAUUAGGUCCUUCUGGGGAAAAUUUUGGGGAGGAAAAAGAACCUUUGGAGGUAAUGACCCCUAAAGUUAAGCUGCACGGAUGGAUGGACACUGUAGGAAGGCAGGUUAAUUAAAUAGCAUCUUAAGCCUAUUAAAGGCAAAUACUGUGGUCUGGGGUUGCAAAUGAACCAUUCAAUUGAAUCAAAAGGCAAUGAAAUCACAUUGCUGUUCAUGAGUGGAAUCCAUGUUUCUGGACGCGGAUUUUUGGCCUCAUACUCUGUUAUAGAUAAACAAGAUCUAAUUACUUGUUUGGACACUGCAUCCAAUUUUUUGGAACCUGAGUUCAGUAAGUACUGCCCAGCUGGUUGUCUGCUUCCUUUUGCUGAGAUAUCUGGAACAAUUCCUCAUGGAUAUAGAGAUUCCUCGCCAUUGUGCAUGGCUGGUGUGCAUGCAGGAGUAGUGUCAAACACGUU